GACGGAGGAUGCAAGCGUUAUCCGGAAUGAUUGGGCGUAAAGCGUCCGCAGGUGGCCGUUCAAGUCUGCUGUCAAAGACCGGGGCUUAACUUCGGAAAGGCAGUGGAAACUGAACAGCUAGAGUAUGGUAGGGGCAGAGGGAAUUCCUGGUGUAGCGGUGAAAUGCGUAGAGAUCAGGAAGAACAUCGGUGGCGAAGGCGCUCUACUGGACCAUAACUGACACUCAGGGACGAAAGCUAGGGGAGCGAAUGGG
This 253-nucleotide ribosomal RNA is filed under the name uncultured bacterium. Its description in RNAcentral is "partial 16S ribosomal RNA". It matches the Rfam family "Bacterial small subunit ribosomal RNA", at positions 524 to 776 of the family's 1533-position model. The record is from RNAcentral.